RNAcentral lists this ribosomal RNA (451 nucleotides) under uncultured bacterium. Its description in RNAcentral is "partial 16S ribosomal RNA". It matches the Rfam family "Bacterial small subunit ribosomal RNA", at positions 354 to 796 of the family's 1533-position model. The record is from RNAcentral.
GUAAGGAAUAUUGGACAAUGGGGGGAACCCUGAUCCAGCCAUGCCGCGUGUGUGAAGAAGGCCUUUUGGUUGUAAAGCACUUUAAGCGAGGAGGAGGCUACCGAGAUUAAUACUCUUGGAUAGUGGACGUUACUCGCAGAAUAAGCACCGGCUAACUCUGUGCCAGCAGCCGCGGUAAUACAGAGGGUGCAAGCGUUAAUCGGAUUUACUGGGCGUAAAGCGCGCGUAGGUGGCCAAUUAAGUCAAAUGUGAAAUCCCCGAGCUUAACUUGGGAAUUGCAUUCGAUACUGGUUGGCUAGAGUAUGGGAGAGGAUGGUAGAAUUCCAGGUGUAGCGGUGAAAUGCGUAGAGAUCUGGAGGAAUACCGAUGGCGAAGGCAGCCAUCUGGCCUAAUACUGACACUGAGGUGCGAAAGCAUGGGGAGCAAACAGGAUUAGAUACCCGAGUAGUCC